This 427-nucleotide ribosomal RNA is filed under the name Massilia timonae. RNAcentral's name for it is "bacterial SSU rRNA". It matches the Rfam family "Bacterial small subunit ribosomal RNA", at positions 353 to 772 of the family's 1533-position model. The record is from RNAcentral. Lineage: Bacteria; Pseudomonadati; Pseudomonadota; Betaproteobacteria; Burkholderiales; Oxalobacteraceae.
AGUGGGGAAUUUUGGACAAUGGGCGCAAGCCUGAUCCAGCAAUGCCGCGUGAGUGAAGAAGGCCUUCGGGUUGUAAAGCUCUUUUGUCAGGGAAGAAACGGCUGUGGCUAAUAUCCACGGCUAAUGACGGUACCUGAAGAAUAAGCACCGGCUAACUACGUGCCAGCAGCCGCGGUAAUACGUAGGGUGCAAGCGUUAAUCGGAAUUACUGGGCGUAAAGCGUGCGCAGGCGGUUUUGUAAGUCUGACGUGAAAUCCCCGGGCUCAACCUGGGAAUUGCGUUGGAGACUGCAAGGCUAGAAUCUGGCAGAGGGGGGUAGAAUUCCACGUGUAGCAGUGAAAUGCGUAGAGAUGUGGAGGAACACCGAUGGCGAAGGCAGCCCCCUGGGUCAAGAUUGACGCUCAUGCACGAAAGCGUGGGGAGCAAA